Molecule: non-coding RNA, 787 nt
Organism: Elaeis guineensis (African oil palm)
Lineage: Eukaryota; Viridiplantae; Streptophyta; Magnoliopsida; Arecales; Arecaceae
Source: RefSeq, a predicted model, not a curated record
CUAUGGAAGCUAAGUGCAUGUGAUUUAUGUGAAAUUGCUAGAAAUUCGGUUUUACAGUCGGGCUUCUCACAUGCGCUCAAGUCACAUUGGAUUGGUAGAACUUACUAUAAGAGAGGUCCUGAUGGGAAUGAUAUUCAUAAGACGAAUGUACCUCAUAUCCGAGUUGAGUUUCGUGAAAUGAUAUGGAGAGAAGAGAUGCAGCAAGUUUAUUUGGGUAUGGCAGAUUUGCCUGAAGAAUUGGACAAAUGAGGUGCUUUUUGCGGUAUUAUAUUCAAUUCGUCAUGGUUAUUGGCUCAGUUUUCUGAGAACGGUGGGCCCUGUUUCAUCUACCUUAUUUUUCAGCCUGUAACUGUGCAUGCAAAAUCAGAUAUGGGCUUGCUUGGGGGUGGAGGGUUGGACACGAGCUAUAUGAAACUUGGUUAGAACAACACACCAUCUGUAGGUUAAUGACCGCAAUAAUGGUAGAGGCUGGUGCAUAAUCUUUUCACUCUGAAUGAAGGAGAUUAAAAGAGAAACGGUGAUGAGUCUGAUUGUAGAUUUAUCCUUAAAAACCUGUGAACAGUUUAUUAUGAUAUAUCAGCAUGUUUUUCUACAAGUAAUGGUUCUUCCUUCAAGAAAUCCAUAGUCACAUAUUCAUAGGCCUUCGUGUUUUAUUUAUUCAUUGCUUGCUGUAUGGCAGAAAUUUUGUGCUAUUUUUCUUCAUUAUUAUGUUAUAAACCUGAAGGGGCCUAUGUGUCCUUGUUAGCUGAUAAUUUUAAAUAAAUUGGGUUUCUUGUUUAUUUUUUGA